CAGUUCUCUGGGUAACCCUAAGGGGGAUUAGUUCCUUCAAUGAACAAAGUUUCUAAUUCUACACUAAGCUCAUCCUUUGGGACAUCAAUCUCAUCCCCUGGUUCUUCCCCAAGCUUCUUCCACCAAGGUGCUUGUAAGUGCUUUAAGGUGGUGAGAUGGGCCUGCUUGGCCUUGGCUGCCACAGGCCUGGACCUACUGAUGAAGAGCUCAGGUUCUUUCCCUUCUGCUUCCUUCAGACUUGGUGCUCCUGUGAUAAACAGAAAAAAGUAAGUGAAUGGAAGUCUUUUCCCAAGCAAGUAGAAAGGCGGAGAUUACAGAAUCGGAACUCUUUUAUACCACCAGGGAAACGUUUCAACUCUGAACCUGUUAUCAUUGCUAGCUGUAGAUGGGGAAGACUGAUGCCAACACACAUGGAAAUCUCUGAGAGACGCCAAACCUGCAGAUGUCGAAAGGAAACCAAGACCUUCUCGUAGAGCCAACACAC
Long non-coding RNA from Echinops telfairi (small Madagascar hedgehog), 484 nucleotides. RefSeq lists it as uncharacterized. NCBI's taxonomy places the organism in Eukaryota, Metazoa, Chordata, Mammalia, Afrosoricida, Tenrecidae. The transcript is spliced from 2 exons. The record is from RefSeq and is a predicted model, not a curated record.